Molecule: long non-coding RNA, 1478 nt
Filed under: Cyanistes caeruleus (blue tit)
Lineage: Eukaryota; Metazoa; Chordata; Aves; Passeriformes; Paridae
Description: lncRNA (ENSCCEG00000012562.1)
Source: RNAcentral
GGAAAGAACAUUGCUUGUUUGGCUGAGUUCUAGUCCUGAAUCUGUUUGCUGCGACAGUCACUGUUAAAUCACUACCAGAUUAUCUUCACUAUUUAAGGAAAAGCUAAAAUCCACUUGUUUUAUCUCAGGGUAAUUAGUCUGAGGGCUGUGAGGUUGAACUCAGUAUGUUCAGCUUGUAAAAGUAGUGUCCUUUUCCAAAUUUUCUCUUCUUUAUGUUGAAGCUGUUACUGUUUGUAGCCAAAAAUUACUUGUUCUCCACCCCCAUUUCAGCACUGUUAUAUCUAUGCUCCUCAACCAUAACUAGCUGAAAUAACUCUAAUCACCUAUUUUUACUGUUUGAGUUAGGGAGGGUUCACAGGACUCAUUUUGCCAGAAGAGCUGAAAUGCUUGCAGAAAGGGAAAAGGGAAAGGGAUACAAAUUCAGAGCUGCAAAAUAGCAGCUGAACACGAUAAUAUCAUCAGCUGGCAGAGGUGGCUGCACUCUGAGCAUCUGUCUAUAGCCUAAAAUGACUGUUUUGUUCAGGGAUUUGUUUGCUUGUUGGUUGGAGUUUUGGUUUGUUAUACUGCAGGAUCACUCCUAACUGCUAAAACAAUUAAGAAAGAAACUUCAGAAAAAGAACACUAAGUCCUAUGGUUUUUAAUUCCCUACUGGGUUUUGGGAAGAAGUAGUUUGUGGCAAACAAGGAAGACAAACCUGGAUCUUUUGCUGCAUCCUUCCUCCUGUUUAAGAAGAUUUGUGAUUCUACAUCUAAAUCCAACAACUUUCCAUGUGGCCCUGCUUGUGUCUACAGAAAUGCCAGAAUCUGCUGCUGCAGACAUGCUGAAAGCAAGCUGAAAGCACCAUGAGCAGAAGAAGGUAUGGGAGCAAAUCCAGUAGAGGAAACAGUUGUUGGAAGAAAGCAAAAGCAGAGAUAAUGCCUCUUGCACAGUAAGUUUUAAAUUGAAAUUUGCUGAAGACUGACAGUGUUUUGGGGAGCUAUUACUCAUGCUUAUACUAUCUUACACUCUUUGUUAAGCUUUUAUUCUUGGUCACCAUCAGAAACACUCUACUGCACUCCAAAUGCCUUUAGUCUGAUUCUUUCUGGCUUUUCAUAUCAUAACGAAUAGUUUUUUACUGAAUCUCCCCCUGCCUCAGUGCAUUACUCUUGCAGAAGUUUAACUAGCGUGGCAGUCAGUAUUCCAGGUGAGUUUUCAGGGAGUCCAGUACUGGGCUAUUAAAUUCUUCACUCUUCCCCCAUGAAAACACCUUCCCUGACACAACACAGGCUUAUGUUUGACUCAUGAUUUCCCUGACCAGCUGCCAUGCCUGUGUCCUCCUUCUCCCAUUAAGUGCUGUCCCAAACCAUUGCAGAAUGGCCAAAACCAGGUGAGUCUGCAUUUUGAACAGCUGAACUUCAUCCAACUGCUGCUUCUCCAGCACUUGUGAUCAUUUUGAUUUCCCUGUGUGAUAUUUCCACCUGUUUUGAACUGAUCACACC